AUGACGAUUCCUAAUUCGGAGGGUUUCUUUCCGUCGGAUAGCUGCUUGCCUCGCGCUCCCGCGGAAGAGAAAGAUAUCAUAAUGGAACUGAUCAGAUCCUCCGAAGCCAGUAUCAAGGAAGGCGAUCUCUACUACCUUGUCUCGCAUAGAUGGUGGAUGGAAUGGCAAGAAUAUGUGGAUUUAGACCAGUCUGAUGAAAAUUCCAAUGAGGGCAUUUUUUGCAUCCCUCGUAGGCCCGGAGAGAUUGAUAAUUCUAAUCUUUUAUUGAAUGAAUCAGUUGUGGAAGGUAAUGAAUUGGAUCUUAAAAGAUCUUUGCAGGAAGGAGAAGACUACAGUUUGGUGCCGCAAGAUGCUUGGAAGAAGCUUCUAGAAUGGUACCGAGGGGGACCAGAACUACCUAGAAAAGUAAUUUCUGAGGGUUUUAUUACCAAGAAGUUCAAUGUAGAAGUUUAUCCUCUUUGUUUGCAAUUAGUUGAUGGAAGAGACAAGUCCCAGAGAACUUUAAAGAUUAGCAGAAUGGCAUCAGUGCGUGAGCUUUACAACAUGGUUUGCAUGCUUUUUGAACUAGAGAAGGAGAAGGUUUCAAUCUGGGAUUAUUACAACAAAACUAAGCAUCAGUUUUUGAACAACUUUGAUCAAACUCUUGAGGAAGCUCAGUUGCUUAUGGACCAGGAGGUUCUUUUGGAGGUCCAAGAUGAUAAGCUUUGGCCUUCCAAUGUCAGUAUGAGUUCAGCUGGAAAUGAAUUGGCUUUGGUUCCUUUAGAACCUUCAAGGUCUUCUGUUACAAUUGCUGGAGGUCCUAUGUUAUCUAACAGUUAUUCAACUGGAUUUCGCUCCAAUUUUCUAGAAGGGGGCAAUUUUAGUUCUUCACAGAGGGACACAGAAGAUAGGGAUGAUGUUUUGAAUAAUGGAAUAAAGGUUGAUGGUCAAGGACUGACAGGAUUGCAUAACCUGGGCAAUACUUGUUUUAUGAACAGUGCCUUACAGUGUUUAGUGCAUACACCUCCCCUUGUUGAUUAUUUUCUUCAAGAUUACAGUGAGGAGAUAAACAAGGAAAAUCCCUUGGGAAUGCAAGGUGAACUUGCAAUUGUUUUUGGAGAAUUGCUAAGGAAGUUAUGGUCAUCAGGACGGACAUCAGUAGCACCACGUGCAUUUAAAGCAAAGCUUGCUCGGUUUGCUCCUCAGUUUAGUGGAUAUAAUCAACAUGAUUCUCAGGAACUUCUUGCCUUUCUAUUGGAUGGUCUGCAUGAAGAUUUAAACCGUGUAAGAAGCAAGCCUUACAUAGAAGCAAAAGAUGCAGAUGGUCGUCCAGAUGAUGAAUUUGCUGAGGAAUGUUGGCAAAAUCACAAGGCUCGAAAUGACUCCAUUAUCGUUGAUGUUUGCCAAGGCCAAUAUAAGUCAACAUUGGUAUGUCCUGUCUGCAGCAAAGUUUCUGUGACAUUUGAUCCUUUUAUGUACUUGUCGCUGCCACUUCCUUCAACUGCCACCCGGACGAUCACUGUGACUGUGUUUAGUGGUGAUGGCAGCUCUCUUCCCAUGCCUUUCACUGUGACAGUGCCAAAAAAUGGUUGUUGCAAAGAUCUAAUUCAAGCACUGAGUACUGCUUCAUGCCUAAAGCACACUGAGGCCUUGGUACUGGCAGAGGUUUAUGGCAACCGUAUAUACCGCUACCUAGAGAAUUCUUUUGAAUCAUUAUCUAACAUAAAAGAUGAAGAGCAUAUUGUGGCUUACAGACUUCCUAUACACCAUGAGAAAUUAUUGAGACUAGAGAUAUUGCAUAGGAGAGCAGAAGGAUUUUUAUCAGAACCACGAUAUAGUGCCCAUCUGAAGCUUCUUGGAACGCCACUAGUUACAACCUUGUCAGUGGAUUCCAGAACUGGAGCAGAUAUCCAUGCUGCUGUUCUUUCUGUGCUUGCUCCAUUGCUGCGAGCAAAUUCACUUACAUGGUCACAUGGGGACAAGAGUAGCAGAGACAGUGGCUCUGGGCCAAGCCUGGAUUCUAUUGUACUCUCGGAUAAUGGUAUUCAGUGCUCAGAAGAGACUUUGUCAACAUCAGACAUGGAAUUAGAAGAGGUCCAUAACAGUAUUCCUGACAUUCAGCUUGCCUUGGCAGAUGGGAAGGUCAUCAGUAGAAGUACGGUUGAUGUUGAUUAUACUGUUCCUGUAUCUCGUCUAAAGGUGGUGAUGAACUGGUCAGACAGAGAGCAUGAAAUUUAUGACUUCAGUUUCCUUGAGGAUCUUCCUGAAGUGUUCAAGUCUGGUUUCAUGUCAAAGAAAACUCGGCAGGAGGCAAUCACUUUAUAUUCAUGCUUGGAAGCAUUUAUAAAAGAAGAACCUCUAGGGCCUGAUGAUAUGUGGUACUGCCCUAGGUGCAAGGAACACAGGCAGGCAACUAAGAAGCUUGACUUAUGGAGGUUGCCAGAUAUUUUGGUUGUUCACUUGAAACGAUUUUCUUACAGCCGAUUUAUGAAAAACAAACUUGACACAUUUGUGAACUUCCCUGUGCAUAACCUUGAUUUAAGCAAAUAUGUUGGGCACAGGGAAAGUGCUUCAAGUUCUCUUGUUUAUGAACUCUAUGCAAUAAGCAACCACUAUGGUGGCUUAGGUGGGGGUCACUACUCUGCUUUUGCAAAGCUACUUGAAGAAGACAGCUGGUUUCAUUUCGAUGAUAGUCAUGUUUCCCCUGUAAACGAAAAUGAAAUCAAGAAAUCAGCAGCCUAUGUCCUGUUCUAUCAGCGAGUUGGAGUUGAGUCCAAGAUGGAUGUCAGGGAAACAGGGAUCAGCCCAGAUUCCUCAAAUUUUUAAGAGCAAAUCUGAAUUGGCAAGCAAUUUGAUUUUUGUUUCAUGAUUCUUUUAACCUUAAAUAGUGGAAGGAUAGCUGGGUUGCAGCUUUUAACUGAUCAUGCUGUUGGUUGACAUGGCCGUAGAAGUUUGGUGGUGAUCAUUGAUUCAAAAUUGUUUGAUCUGCCACUGAAUACCCACCCACAAGCAUAAUCCAAGACUGGACUCACAGUGCAAUUGAUAGUUCAAGGAAGCUAAGGUCAUUUAUUACAUUGUUUUAGAAAUUAUUGAGAUUUGAUAGAUUAUCCCGGAAGCAGUUGCCACUACAUUUGGCAGAUGAGGAUUGGAUUGUCCUUGAGCUUCUCAAUGAUCCAUUCAAAGCUACCAAUCUGGCCCUGGUGAUAUUCUCUUAUUUUUGUAGAGAGAUGUUUGAAGCUGUAAUGCAAAUGUUUUCUUUUGCAAACUGCACUUUCUGCAGUAAAAUUGUAAUGACAGGUUGAAAAAGUGGUUCAGUGUCUCAUUUUUUCUUCAUUUUCAGUUCAAAAUCAAGGAUCUUAUGGCCUUUGCUUAAUUAUGCAUUGGAAAUAGCUUUUCGUUGCCAA
Molecule: RNA transcript, 3383 nt
Organism: Musa acuminata subsp. malaccensis (wild Malaysian banana)
Lineage: Eukaryota; Viridiplantae; Streptophyta; Magnoliopsida; Zingiberales; Musaceae
Gene name: ubiquitin carboxyl-terminal hydrolase 9
Source: RefSeq, a predicted model, not a curated record